Sphaerulina musiva SO2202 is the source of this 99-nucleotide non-coding RNA. NCBI's taxonomy places the organism in Eukaryota, Fungi, Ascomycota, Dothideomycetes, Mycosphaerellales, Mycosphaerellaceae. The record is from the annotation of a RefSeq genome assembly.
UCCUCCGUGGCGCAAUUGGCUAGCGCGUUCGACUGUUAUCAUCUGGGUCAACCCAGAGAAGCAAUCGAGAGGUUGACAGUUCAAGCCUGUCCGGGGGAA